This 370-nucleotide unclassified non-coding RNA is filed under the name Hevea brasiliensis (rubber tree). The record is from RNAcentral. Lineage: Eukaryota; Viridiplantae; Streptophyta; Magnoliopsida; Malpighiales; Euphorbiaceae.
GGGACAGAGCUCAUACUACCUAUAUUUCAGAGGAAAAGUAUAGAACAAUGCUGGGAGAACACGUUCAAAAGUAUAAGAGGAGGCUUGGUAAUUCCUCAGCAAGCCCUGCAGCUAUUCGUAAUGGAGUACCUGUGAUGAGAGGUGGUGGAGGUUCAAGAGACCAGAAGUCAGCAAAUGAUCAUAGAGGAGGAGCGGUCAGACUUGCCUCUACAUCAGAAUUUUUUAACAAUAGCACUCAGAGCUUAGGAAACCAUAUUCAGUCAGAUUUUCUAGGACCAUAUGGUGGUGAUAGAUCUAUUUAUGAACCUGCUUUCUUGGAUCUUGGGGAGGACAUCACAUACAAGAUCCCUCCACCUUAUGAAAAGCUGGC